Long non-coding RNA from Cynocephalus volans (Philippine flying lemur), 3307 nucleotides. RefSeq lists it as uncharacterized. The record is from RefSeq and is a predicted model, not a curated record. The transcript is spliced from 2 exons. Lineage: Eukaryota; Metazoa; Chordata; Mammalia; Dermoptera; Cynocephalidae.
CAUGGCGGCGACUGGAGGCGGAACGCGGAGGGCGACUUGGCUGCCCCGCUGUUCGUGCUGCUGGCGCUUGUGCUGCCCGGCGUCUGCGGAGACUCCUCGACCGACAGUGGAGGACUAAUGUCAUGCACACGCCGUGGUUCCUGUCGUGGUUGGUGUCGCUGGUCUGCUGUUUCAUCCUGGUCAUCGCCCGUCAGCCUGAAGAGCGCUCUGCAGUGUCCUCGCGAGGUGAGUGAGCGGGUUCCAGGUUCUCCUUGUACCUGUUUAUCCGAGAAUGUCCGCAAGGCUCCUCCAUGGUGAAGACUGUGGUCACAUUACCGCGUUCUGUGCUCACUUUCCUCCUUUGCUGCUUUGUGGACUCGACGCUUUGUGUCCCGCGCAUCAGCAGCACCACUGAAGCCCUGGUUUGGAAUCAUCUUUUCCUUGGCUGCUUUGAGGACUUUUUCAUCUUCGGUUUUCCUCACGGGGUCUGUCAUGUGCCUGUUCAUUGUCUUCCUGCAGCUUUCCGAGCUUCUUGCUUCUGUGGCUUGAUGUUUUCCACCAACUGAGGGAAAUUUUGGUCCUGUUGUGGGUUUUUUCCUGCCCCAUUGUCUCUCCUCUGUCCUCCUGUGUAUUCAGUUCUGUAUGUUAAAUGGCUUAUCGUGGUCUGACAGGCUCUGUUCAUUCUAUUUUUACCUGUGUUUUCCUCUUUUACUCAGUUUGGACAAUUUCUGCAGAUUGGCUUCAAGUUCCCUGGCCUCUUAUCUGCUGUCUCCAGCUGCUGUUAAAAGCAUCUAGUGAAUUGUUUAAUUCAAAUAUUGUACUUUUAAAUUCCAGAAUUUCUCUUUGAUUCUUUAUUUCUUUCCUUAAUUUUUCAUUUCUCUGCUAUGAUCCUCAUUUCUUUCACCCCAUAUAUCCACUCUUUUCUUUCAGUUCUGGAACAUAUUUAAGUAGAUUAGGAUUGGCCUUCAGACCAGCAAAGAGGAGUGGCUUUGAGACUCAGCAGAGGACGACCAUAGUGAUGAGAACAUGAAGGGCAGGGCAGGCCAGGAAUUGGGACAACAGUUUCUGGGGAGAAACUUUCCCCUUCACACGUGUCUCCCCAUCUGUGCACAGUGGCAGCAAAGAGCUUGAUUAAAGCCAGUGACACUAGAGAUCCUGCCACGAGCCUUCCCUUCCUGGUCCCCGGCAGGCUGCAGGGCAGGGGACGACCAAGUUCCCUGUUCCGUCACAGAACUUCAGGGAAUCGCUUCACAAGUCCACGACCAGUCCCCCGUUCCCUGUGUCAUGAACAGCUCUGCUGAGACAAACCUGUGGUUCCCAGGAAAUGGUGGACGGUGAUUACAGAUACUGUUUCCACUGGUGACCUGGGUGAUUUACUUAGUAUCUGAAAAACCACUUUAGCACUUAAAGUGCUAUGUAUGUUCCUUUGAAGCACCAGGAUCUUUUUUUUUUCUGACCAGUAAGGGGAUUGCCACCCUUGGCUCAGUGCUGUCUACACCAUGCUCAGCCAGUGAGCGCACCAACCAUCCCUAUAUGGGAUCCAAACCCACGGCCUUGGCACCAUCAGCACCACACUCUCCUGAGUGAGCCACGGGGCCAGCCCAAGCACCAGGAUCGUAAUGUCAGGAGGGCAUGCUGACGGGCAAUAAGGAAUGAAUCGUACACUUCUUCAAGUUCACAUGUCCAUUUACACAAAAAUAUUGAGACCAAUAUCCAGUUCUGUUUAAAAGUUACAUGUUUUCUACUGUGUAAAUGUGAUCACACAGGCCACCCAACACACACACACAAACAGCAUGUAAAUAUGCAAUACACAUCAGUUCCUGCUACCUUUCUUAUGGUUUUUCUGUAAGUUAAAAAACUGUAUGAAAUUCUAGUAAUUUUUUCUAAAAGGGGAAUACAAAUUAAAAACCUAAAAGACAGAUAUUUUCACCUUAUUUUCUUUAAAAAGAGAAAGAAAAUGUUCAAGCUUCACAGAUUGACCUACUCACAGUUAAAUAGCCACACUACAAAUCACAGAUGGGGGCACGGCCAUCCUGGCCCAGAGGCACCACUCAGUGAUGUGGGUGAGGGCUCCUGACUCAGCAUCGCAGGUGAGGGCUCGUGUCUCCUCAGUGUCAUAGGUGAGGGCUCCUGGCUCAGCAUCGCAGGUGAUGGCUCCUGAGUACCUGCCCCUCCUCCAGCAACUCCUCUUUUCUGGUGCACAGGCUGUGGUUCACACAUACUGGCCCCAUUGGCUGGCUCCAUCCUCGCCAGGGAGAGAUCACUGUCCUUGAGUGACCACUGCCUGGCAUUGCAGCACUGAGAGUUCAGUGACAGCUGGUGACUAGACAGGAUGACCUGCUUCCCUGUGGCAUGGGUGCCCAGGAGGCCUGGCCAUGCCUGCAUGGCUGUUCGUCACCCCAGGCUCCUGCCUGAAGCCUCAAUGAUCUCCCCAUGAAGUGCAGAGAAACCAUACAUUUGGCCUUUGCUGUCCAGACUCUUCACACUCAGGUGCUUCCAUCUCUAGCUCAGGGGCUUCCAGAGGAGCCCACAAGAUCCUGGGAGUAGCUGUGCCCCCUGCUGGGCGAGGGGUGCCGGCCAACUGCUGGGGGCUCUGCCAGGUCUUCACACCCAGCACAUCCAGCUGCCUCUGUCCGUUCCCCAUGCAGACCCUGCCUCCUGUUUCCCCCCAUAAAAUCUGUCUAAAUUGAACCCAGCAGACUCCCCUCUCUCUCUGUCUAUAUCUGCACCAUACCUAGAUCAUGUCUGUGUAUGGAUGUCUCUAGAGUAUUUUCAUUUUAUGUCUUUGUUUAAAUCUAAAUAUAUAAAUAUUUUAGAUAGAAACAUAUAAAUUAUUUUACAUCUAUGUAAAUAUAUUGAUUAAAAUGAUUUUAUCAUCUCUUUCUGUUAAUUAAAAUUCCUGAUCAGCAGUGAUCCCUGAGUACCUCAUACGUGUCUGCACGUGUGAACGUUUGAACACAUGGACACUGCAUGUGUGUGCCGCAGGAAUGACUGUUUGCAUGUCUGUACACAUGCUUCACACGUGUCCAUAGCUCCGUGGAUCUCUCCAGUUAGGCAUUUGGCCCUUCCUCACACUCUUCAUCCUAUUUCAUUUAUUUUCUGCCCCAUUACUUUACUGGUUUUUAUUUUUGAAAAGCGUUUUAAAGAUUAUCUGCUUGUUAAAGUCAGUGAAUCUUCCAGCCCUCCUUUUACUUGACUGUUCUAAAGCAUUUACUAGUAUUUCUGUAUUUUUUUUUUCCUGAUUGUAAGUAUCAUACUGUUCAAUUCAGAAAAUGUAGAGUAUGAAACAAAAUAGAAAAAUAAAGAAAAAUCCUAUAGUUAUGCCAGA